Delphinapterus leucas (beluga whale) is the source of this 802-nucleotide non-coding RNA. The record is from RefSeq and is a predicted model, not a curated record. NCBI's taxonomy places the organism in Eukaryota, Metazoa, Chordata, Mammalia, Artiodactyla, Monodontidae.
CCUCAAGAGCACUGGGUGACAAAGUUAUGGAGAAGCGCCUGCAGGAGGCCCAGCUGUACAAGGAGGAAAGGAACCAAUGUUACCGGGAAGGGAAGUGCCGAGAUGCUGUGUGUGGGUACCAUCGAGCUCUGCAGCAGCUGCGGGGUCUGGAUCCAAGUCUGCCCUCCCCGAUACCUAAUCUGGGACCUCAGGGCCCGGCCCUCACACCUGAACAGGAAAACGUACUGCACACCACCCAGACAGACUGCUACAACAACUUAGCUGCCUGUCUUCUUCAGAUGGAGCCAGUAAACUAUGAACGGGUGAAAGAAUACAGUCAGAAGGUCCUGGAACGACAGCCUGAUAAUGCCAAGGCCCUGUAUCGGGCUGGGGUGGCCUCUUUCCACCUGCAGAACUAUGACCAGGCUCGGCACUACCUCAUGGCUGCUGUCAAUAGGCAGCCAAAAGACGCCAGUGUCCGGCGGUACCUUCAGCUAAUGCAGUCAGAACUCAGCAGCUACCAUCGGAAAGAGAAGCAGCUCUACCUGGGCAUGUUUGCUUAACAAAGAAGAAAGAUACCCCUCCACUGGAACUUAGGUGAACCAUUAAAGACCCAUCAAGGGGAAACCUGAGCCUCAGCAAGAGAAAUUAACCCCAUACCUCUGACAGAGGUGAACUUCUAUUUUGUUUCUAGUUCUGCACAAACUCUUUAUUGCUUACAUAGCCUGUGUCUGUUUUUGUUUCUCCAUCUAUGUAUUUAUACGGCUUUUAAUAUGUGGUAUUAUUAGGGACAUUUGCCUUGAGAAAUACAACCAGAAAACAU